UUAACUCAAUUUUGUAAGGAGUUGAAACGUUUGUCUACGUUUGCCGCUAGGGGCGCUGUUCCAACUGCAUACAAACUUGAGUUA
Non-coding RNA from Bombyx mori (domestic silkworm), 84 nucleotides. NCBI's taxonomy places the organism in Eukaryota, Metazoa, Arthropoda, Insecta, Lepidoptera, Bombycidae. The record is from Rfam.